Molecule: long non-coding RNA, 247 nt
Filed under: Pelobates cultripes (western spadefoot toad)
Lineage: Eukaryota; Metazoa; Chordata; Amphibia; Anura; Pelobatidae
Source: RNAcentral
CCAGAAAGCCAUGCUUCAUUUAGUCACAAAGGACUUUUUACUAACUUUUGAACCCCUUGUCUGAUUUGUGCCAUUUUUGAAUAUGUUGUUCCCCUGAAUGGAUUGAUUGUGUAUAUGUAAUUUUAUGUGAAUGUGAUGUAUGGUUUUGGAGUUAUGAAAGUUGGGUAGAAAGUAUGUUUUAACUGUAUGUAUAAUUGAGUUUCCUCUCAGGAUAAGGGGAGGGAAUAUGUGGGGUGUAACUGUGAUG